This 107-nucleotide small nuclear RNA is filed under the name Dasypus novemcinctus (nine-banded armadillo). Lineage: Eukaryota; Metazoa; Chordata; Mammalia; Cingulata; Dasypodidae. The record is from RNAcentral.
GUGCUCACUUCAAAAACACAUAUAUUAAAAUUGGAAUGAAACAGAGAAGAUUAACAUGGCCCCUGAGCAAAGAAUUCAUGCGAAUUUGUGAAACAUUCCAUAUUUAA